This 73-nucleotide unclassified non-coding RNA is filed under the name soil metagenome. RNAcentral's name for it is "partial internal transcribed spacer 1". The record is from RNAcentral.
AUGAUUUUUAAUAUUUGUGAAUUUACUACAAACAAAAAUUUAAUUUUAUAGUCAAAAAUAAAAAAAAAGAUUA